Choloepus didactylus (southern two-toed sloth) is the source of this 7987-nucleotide RNA transcript. It is a transcript of the gene named zinc finger protein 596-like, with no coding region annotated. The record is from RefSeq and is a predicted model, not a curated record. The transcript has 5 exons. Lineage: Eukaryota; Metazoa; Chordata; Mammalia; Pilosa; Megalonychidae.
GCCAGCGACCCCGCGACCCCGCGACCCCGCUGGUGGCACCACUUUGGCGCCUAGGCCUCCACCGACGGCGCAGAUAAAGGCCCCUAGGCUGCGGAAAUGGCGGCGGGGAGUAGCCAAGCCCAGGAGACCCCGCUCAGAUACCUAGCAUUUGGACUGUCUGAGAGUGAAAACCCAGAGGAAGAUAGUUGGUGGCAGAACUACUGACAAUGAAACCAGUGGAAUCAGUGACAUUCAAUGAUGUAGCUAUCAACUGUACCAAGGAAGAGUGGGCCAUGCUGGACACAAACCAGAGAAAGAUGUUCAGAGAUGUUAUGCUGGAGAAUAUCAGUCAUCUGGUGUUCAUGGAUAUCAGGUCUGCAUAUCAGAAGUGCUUUCACAGUUAGACCAAGGAGAACUGUGGAGAGAAGGAUUAAGGUUUCUCCAAGUACAGAAUCCAGGUGAGUUCUAAGACUCUGUGCUUCACUAUGAUGAGGGGCAUUGUCACUGAAUGAGCAGGUCCUUAGACGUAUCAACAGAAGAUUUCCUGAACUGAAUGAUAUUCUCUGAAAUGUAAGAUAUGAAUUUGGGGGAAAAUCACCUCCAAUGUGUAAUUUUUCCAUACAUGUAUCAAUUUCUAUUCAUGAAUCCAUCUGUGAUUGUCUUUCACUUAGGGAAAGGCUAUUUGUGUACUUACAGGAGUUAAAUUCUCACAUAAUGGACUGUGUUCUGGUCCUCCUGUUUGAGGAUUUCCCUCUCUUUACCACUGAAUAUCCCAUUUUAUCUUAUUUUCCCUUACUUUAAUGCUGAAUAUAUUUUAUUUCUCAAUUUCCAGAAAAGUGUUUCUAUCUCCUAAAGUACACCUUAAUUUUACAUUGUUGUCCAAUCUAAAUAACAAUAUUUGAAAAAUAAUCACAUGAUAAUUGAGGGUUUUUAAAUAUUUCAUUCUGCUUAUGCCACUCUAUAAUGCUUUCAAAAUUGUUCCAGGCAGGGAAAAUGACCAUAAAAAAGAAGAAAUGAUAACCAUGCAACAUAUGUUUAAGGACACAUCUACCAGCCAGACAAAUAUUGCCAAGUGGCAGGAGGAUCUCUGAACAGCAAAGUUUUCCAGGGGUAAUUAGAAUACUGCACAGGUGAUCCCAUCCCACAAAUAUAAAAGAAAAUAUCAUUUAUUUUCAUGCAUAGGUAAAGAAUGCAUUUUCAAUAUAAAGAAUUGGCAUAAUUUUCCAUUUAUGUUUUUAAUCCACAUAUCCAUACAAAACAGUAUACUUAAGUCAAUAUUUCAAAAUAUUUAGGGGUGAAUUAUGCACAGAAAUGGCUAGAAGCUGUGUUUAUGAAUUGCAGAAAAAUGCUUAUAUUUUCUUUCAAAACAUGGUAUUAGCAAUCCCUAGAAUUACACCUGAAGUAUAAGGACUCAUGUAUAUAUCUUAUUUUCAUGACCAGGAUUCACUUAUUUACUUUGUACUACCUGGAUAUGUAACAUAGAGGUUAGCAAAGAGAAGAUAAUAGGCAAAUAUUUGUGGUAUUAUUAAUUAAAUAGCAAUGACAAUAAAAUAUGCAAUUUGUAAGAUAAAUGUUGCCAAACAAAAUUAAAUGUAUUUAAAUAUUUAAAUUAGUAUCCUUCAUAUUGAAACUUUGGGCAGCAAGAGGAGCCCCCCAAUUUUGCUGGCAUCAUUUCUACUAGGCACUGUAAUCCAAUCACUCUGAACUUUCAUUAACAAUUAUCAAUUGUGUUUAAAAUUGCUGGGACUGAGUUUUUCAAUUCAAUUAAUAAUAAAUUAAUACAUUGGCUUACUCUAAUUCUGUAACAUCCCUAUCAGCAUUUUCUAUUCAAAUUUUAUUAAAAAAUAGCAGAGCAGGAGAGAGUUGGAGUGAUUCAUGAAGAGGGGUAAAGAGGAGGAAAAGAAGAAAACAGUAACAUCAAACACUUACAAGUGAAUACUGUCUUUUACACUGGAGAGGAAAGGCAGGGUUUCUGGUAAGGAUCCAGUCAUGUUUCAAGUGCAGGCAAUGGUGAGUGGGAACCUGAGAUGAUUAAGACUGUGGCAGUAAUCAUUCUGUUUUAUAACCAGGCCAUCUUUGUUCAGUUUUAGUUAACAAUGUAGGGAAGAAAUGGAACUAGAGAAAAUCUCUUGGUAUGUAAACCUUGGCAUAAAAAUAUAGCACUGUUGCAAUUUGAAAUAGCUAAUUGCCUUGAGAUGGCUCUAGGAAAGCAAAUAUCUUCCAUGAUUCUUAGAAAUUCCAAUUACAUUUCUGUCAUUGAUUUAUAGUUUAAUUCAGCUAUGCUAAGACAACAUAGUCAGUAUGAUUUUAACAACUGGAUCAUGUUGAUUUUUGGCUUAGUAAAUGGUCUUUUUAUAUAUGUCAAAAAUGUACUUGAAAAAAAUUAUGUACCCAGAGAGCAAUAAUCUGUAUGUCCUAUUUAAGACAAGUUAGCCCAUUGUGUCAUUCAAGUUUUGUGUAUAAUAAUUAGAUUAUAUUCAUAUCUCCAACUAUGGUAUACAAAUUUUAAAAAUUUUCCUUUGUGAUAUGUCAUUUCUUGCAAUAUGUUUGCAGUUAUGUCAUAAGUGCAUACAAAUUUGUAAUUGUUAAAUCAUCCUAUUAAGGCAACUUCCUUAUGAAGAAAAAUCUCUUUUUAUAUGGAGUCAUACUUCCUACAUCUGGUCUACAUUUUUUUACUAGAAUUCAGCCGUAUAGCUUGAAUGACUUGUUUUUUGGUGGGGGGGGGGUUGUUUUGCAUUAUAUAUUCUGCCAUCUUGUUUAAAAUUUUAUUUUUGAUGUGUAUUUUUCUGCUUAUUUUAAGUAUUGUUACUUAUCAAGAGCUUAUAGUUGGGUAUUUUAGUUUUUCAUUUCAAUUGACAAACUUUGUGUUAUAAUUGGGUCAUUUAGUUCAUUUAAAUUUAAUGUCAUUAGUAGCACAUGUUGAAUUUCUGUCUACUCCCAUGCUUUUGGUUUGCUAUUUGUCCCUUUUCUGUGUCCAGUAUUUCUUCUAUUGAGUUAAUGAAUUGCAUUUUUCCUUUUUUACCAUCUAGUAGAUUUUCAGUUAUAAAAUCUUAUCUCAAUAAUUUUAGAUUAUUACCCUAGAGAUUUCAAAAUUGAUCUUCAGCUUAUUACAUUCUAUUUUGUUUCCAUCAUUAGUUGACAGAUCACUCAUAUGAACAAUUAUCCAAAUAAAUAUCUGGAUAUUGUUCCACAUGGCCCUGGAUUUAUUUUACAGGUGAUUGUUUAUAAAUAUGCAUUUAGAUGACAUAUAAAAAUAAAUUUCAUGAUUGCUAUGUCACUGUCACAGUUCUGAGAACUCAAGAGUAAUUUUGUUUCAUUCUAUUCAAACUUACCCACAGAGGGCUUCCCCUCCCUCAACACCCCCAUACAGAACAUGGCAAAUAAUUGUGGUUAAUCUGGCUGCCUCUAGAGCCAAAAAGCCCAUGCUUCUAGGCAGGAUCUACAACUUAAGGAUUGUGUGCACUUUAGCAAGUUAUAUUUUCUUGACUUCCUGAACCCACAUGUUUACCCUUUCAUUGUCCUUCAUUCCUUGCUACAUCCAGUGUAUCCAUCUGUAAUGAUUUCCAUCAGUCUGAAAACCAUCUGUUAACAUUUUUUGUACCAUCCAGUUGAUGGCCUUGAACUUUCUCUGCUUUAGUUUGUCUGAAUAUAUAUUUCUUUGCUCUUUGUUUAAUACUUCCAUAAUUAUCCAUUUUUUUGAUGUCAGACACUAACUAUUAUGAACACUCAUUAUCCAUAUAAAUAGAAUCAUACAGUAUGUAUUCUUUUAUAGUUGACUUCUUUUCAGGUAUAUAUAUAUAAUUUUUGGCUGGGGGUGAUUUGUUUUGCCAGGAGUGUUCCACCUGAUUUAUUGCCCAUAUUGUAGAUAUUCAUUCUCCCAAUAUUUGACAUUGUGUUUAUUACCAUGUUUUAGUUAUUGCAAAAAAUAAAUUUCCUUUAAAAUUGCUAUACUUGAGUUGGUGGACCUAGACACUCAUUUUUCUUGAGCAUGUAGGAGAUGAAUUGCUGGAUCAAAAAUAGAUGCAUGUUGACAAUUGGAUAGUGAGAAGCAGAAGAGCAAGCACCAAGACUCAGUCCUCCCAGCAUAACAACUAUUAUGCAGGUAGAACCUGUCUGAAACAGCUAUUUUGAAUCUCCACAAAUGAGAGGAAUACUUCACAGCAUCCAGGGAAGACCAGGAGUAAGACUCUGACAAAUUGCAGUAAAGAACAGAAAAUUGCUCUCAUUUCAAGGUGUUUACUGUCACACAUGUCACACUCUUGCUGCACUCCACAAUGGUUCCAACCCUUGAAAAGCUUGCUGGUGACAUAAAAGGAUGUGAAAAUCUGCCAAGACCAAAUGAGAGCACAUCUAAGCAGUGAUCACAGCUUUUGAUAAAUGGCUUUUGAUUGCUGGGGCCCCACUCUAAAUGUUGCCAUUGAUUCAAACCACCCACAAAUGCAGUGGUGGCAGCCAUUUUUUUCAAACUAUCCUGAGUGGUAGAGGUCAACUCAAGACACUUGUCUUCCACAGGUCUGCAUGAGAUAGAUGAAGGAAUGAAUUUUAUGGGCAAGCCAAGAGAGCUCAGCUUUGAAAAGCUGUGCAGAAAGAUCUUGAUGACUUAUCUGGUCCUCUACCUAGGGCAUUUUGAAGCCAGUCUGUACAGUUGACAUGGUUGACUGGCCCUGAUUCAGUAGAAAAGACAGACUUGUAAAUGCCCUCUUCAUCAUAUCCCUCAACUCAGAAUUUGCCUUUCAGACAAUAGCAACUUGAGGCAAUUAAAGACAUGUAAGAAUUAUAAAAGCAGUGAUAUAGGAGCAAUGGCUUGUGGGCUUCAAACACCCAUGAGCAUGAUGUCUGUCUCCUAGGAAACAGGGGACAAACUUCUGAAAAUAGGUAAACUCAAAAACAGCUAAGAAGAAAAAGCACAGGACCAGAUGCAGGCACAGAAUGACAAGGGGAAACAUGCACACUGCAUUCAUUUUCUGUAGGCAUCCCUGAUAGGGGGGAUGAUGUUCAAUAAAAUCUCUGUCUUAUCAUCAGGUGGUUACAAAACCAAGAAACAUACAUCUUCAGGGAAUAAAUACUAGAAUUAACCUAUUAAAAUGCACAGUGUGCAAUGAGUGCAAGACAAAGAAACAGGAAAUUAUGGCCCAUCCAAAGGAAAAGGAUGAAAAUUCAACAACAAGGAAGAAUGCCAGAAUGUGGGCAUGACAAAUAAAUUCUUUAAAAAUGAUCUUAAAAUGCUCAAGAUGAAGGACAAUACAGAGAAAGAACUAAAGGAUAUAAGGGAAACAAUGAAUGAGCAAAUGAGAACCUUAGUAAAGAUACAGAAAUUUUAAAAGGAAUUAACAGAACUACUGGAGUUGAAGACCAUAACAACAAAAAUAAAAAGUGUCCAAAAACGUUUCAAGGACGGAUUGGUGCUGGCCAAAGAAAGAAUCUGAACAUAAUAACAAGACAAUUGAAAUAAAUAGGAUUGAGCAACAAAUAGAAGAAUUAUGAGAAGUGAGAAUAACUUAAGAGAUUUUCAAAUUUACCAAUGUAUGCAUUACAGGAUUUCCAAAAGGAGAAGAAAGAAAGAAGAAGGAAUAGUCAAAGAAAUGACAGAGAACUUCCCAAGCUUAUUAAAAUAUAUGAAUAUACACACUCAAUGAGCUGAGAAACACCAAACAUCAGAAGCAUUUAGAAAAAUAAACCAUUUCAUUUAUUGAUCACAUUACUGAACACAAAGUACAAGGAGAGACUUCUGAAAGCUCUGAGAAAAAAGUAAUGACUUAUGUAUGAGGAAUCCCCAAUAAUGUUGAGUGCUGAUUUCCUAUCAGAAAUAAUGAAGGAAAAAAGACAGUGGGUUGAAAUACUUAUUGUGCUUUAAGAAAACAGUUGCCAACCAAGAAUUAUAUAUCAGGUGAAACUUUCUUUCAAAAAUGACAGAGACUUCAGGGUCAAGAUGGCAACAGGAACAGGCAAACAAACUGCUGAGUACUGGCUCCACAGAGCUGUGGUCUAUCCAGUAGACCCUGUGUUUGGCAUCUUCUGUCAUGAGGAGUGGAGAUCAAAGUUGGGCAUCAGUUAACAGAGCAAUCAAGCCUUUUGCAGAACCUGGUCACCCUCCAGACUAGUUCUCUCAAAAACAUUUGCUUCUAAAUACUCAGACUUCAAGAGACCACUGAGACCCCAAAAUGGAAAUGCAGUGUAAAAGAGGAAGCUGUGGAAAUUGUUGAUGUCAUUGUUCAGAAACUGAUGGCUGAACAAGUUGAGAGUUAAAGUAAUAAAGGAAACCCAGGAAAAGUAUAGAUGACUGAAAAGAGAUGCAGAACUAAUUCAAGUUGGGCACAUAGAUAGCAGACUGGAUGAACUUUGUAAUGACAUUGCAAUGAAAAAGAAAUUGGAGGAAGAGGAGGCUGAAGUAAAGAGGAAGGCUACAGAUGCUACAUAUCAGGCUCUUCAAGCAGUAAAGUCACCCCCUUGGAGGUUACUGACUGUGAUCAUUUGCCUGUAAUUUCUGCCUCUCCAGGAGGUGAUUAUCCACUUGGGGACUUGACUCCCACCCCUAUGGAAUAGGCCACCUCUGGGGUAAACAAUGGGACUUUGCUGAGUACCCAAGUCACCUAAUUUCUUGGGAUUCCUGACAUCCUUCCUCCAAGCUCUCCACUCUUAGAGGUCCCCAUGACUCAAGUAACAGAUGAUUCACCCCAGAAAAAUAUGCUUGGACAGAAAUGAAGUCCACAAAUACAAUAAUUGGUGUCCCAGGAGAAGAAGAGAAAAGUAAAGUGCUAGGAGGAAUAUUUGAGGAUAAAAUUGGGAACUCUUCCCACCUUACAAAAGAGAUAAAUAUACAAAGAAGAAACCUAACAAACUCCAAAUAGAUUAAAUCCAAAUAGAACCACUCUGAGGCAUAUACUAAUCAGAUUGCCAAAUGUUGAAGAGAAGAGGAAAGUUCUGAAAACAAGACAGAAGUGGUUCACCACAUAAAAGGCAAAUCAUGUAAAAUUAAGUAUUGCUACUGAACAGGCACCAUGUAGGUGAAAAGGCAAAGGUAUGACAUAUUUAAAAUUCUGAAAAAGCAGAAAUUGCCAGCAAAGAAUACAUUAUCCAGCAAAGCUGUACUUUAAAAGUGAGGGAGAGUUUAAAAUUUUCACAGACAAACACAUGCUGAGAGAAUUUGUUGACAAGAGACCUGCCCUGCAAGAAAUACUAAAUAGAGUUCUGCCCACUGAGAAAAAAGUCAGGAUAAAGAGAUCUGGAGAAAGGUACACAACAUAAAAAUAUUAGAAAGCAUAACUUAAAGGAAAAAAAGAGAGAGGAAGGAAAAACAGAACUAAAAUAAGGAUAAGUUGAUUAGUUCAAGAACUGCCUUCACAGUAAUGAAUUUGAAUAGGAAUGGAUUAAACUCUCCAAUUAAAAGAUAUAGACUGACUAAAUGGAUUAAAAAGUAUGGUCCAUUGAUGUGCUGUUUACAAGAGACUCAUCCUAGUCCUAGUGGCACAAAGAGAUUGAAUGUGAAAGGAAGGAAAAAAUAUUCCACAGACUCUGUAACAAAAGAAAAUGGGUAGCCAUAGAAAUAUUGGAUGAAAUAGGUUUUAAAUGCAAAAUCAAUAUGAUAAAUGAAUUACACUUAAUAUAUAUGUGUGUAUAUAUAUAUAUAUAUAUAUAUAUAUAUAUAUAUAUAAAGAAAUAUAUGAUUGCUUUCAAAAUAAGAGUAUAUAUUUUCUCUAGUGCUCAUGGAAUGUUCUCCAUGAAAUAUCAAAUGUUGGGUCACAAAACAAGUCUCAAUUUAAAAUGACUGAAAUCAUUCAAACCACAUUCUCUUACCAUAAUGGAAUGCAGCUUGAAAUCAAUAACAACCAAAGAACAAGAACUUUCAAACAUAUAUAGAGGUAAGGUGUAAAUCUCCCAUGCAACAUUGGACAUGACUCCUAGGGAUAAGUCUGGAUCUGACAAAAGAGAUGAAGCAUAUAAUGAAAACACUGGACAUACAUAAAGUAUAAAUUGAAAGUUCAAAAAAGCAAAAGGCAGAAUCCAUGGA